UACAGAGGGUGCGAGCGUUAAUCGGAAUUACUGGGCGUAAAGCGUGCGUAGACGGUUUCGUAAGUCGGGUGUGAAAUCCCCGGGCUCAACCUGGGAAUUGCAUUCGAAACUGCGAGGCUAGGGUACGGAAGAGGGAAGCGGAAUUUCUGGUGUAGCGGUGAAAUGCGUAGAUAUCUGGAGGAACACCGGUGGCGAAGGCGGCAUCCUGGACCAACACUGACGCUGAGGAGCGAAAGCCAGGGGAGCAAACGGG
RNAcentral lists this ribosomal RNA (253 nucleotides) under uncultured bacterium. RNAcentral describes it as "partial 16S ribosomal RNA". It matches the Rfam family "Bacterial small subunit ribosomal RNA", at positions 524 to 776 of the family's 1533-position model. The record is from RNAcentral.